This 70-nucleotide transfer RNA is filed under the name Hyphomicrobiales bacterium. RNAcentral's name for it is "Pseudo tRNA". The record is from RNAcentral. Lineage: Bacteria; Pseudomonadati; Pseudomonadota; Alphaproteobacteria; Hyphomicrobiales.
CGCAAGGUAUUCAGCGCAAUACACUGCCUUCACACGGCAGGGGUCACAGGUUCAAUCCCUGUCGCACCCA